Molecule: long non-coding RNA, 1322 nt
Organism: Phyllopteryx taeniolatus (common seadragon)
Lineage: Eukaryota; Metazoa; Chordata; Actinopteri; Syngnathiformes; Syngnathidae
Exons: 7
Source: RefSeq, a predicted model, not a curated record
ACGUUUUUAUUCUAUUGCUGCUAGCAAUGGCUAUGUUCGCUGUUGAUCUUUGCUGGCUGAGUCGACUAACUUAGCUGCCAACUGUUGUGGUAACUUUGGGAAAUGUGAAUAUGUCCUUAAUUUGAGCUUCCUUUCGGGGUUGUCGGAACGUAGAACUCUUAUCUGCGCGCUUUCCAUUUUUACACCGUCGACGGCGUGCACCAGCGGGAGGAUAGAUCUACUUCAUGCACAGAGGUGGACUACUACUACCGAGCAAGCAGGUCUGUGGAUGACGCAGUCAACACGGGACUGCACUUCAUCCUAGAACAACCGACAGCGCGGGGACGUACGCGAGGAUCCUGUUCGUGGACUUCAGCUCUGCGUUCAACAACAUCAUCCCCGAGCUCUCCUCCAAGCUUCUCCAGCUCAGCGUCUCGCCUACCAUCUCCCAGUGGAUCUACAGCUUCCCGACGGGCAGGACACAGGACACUCUCUGCAUUUGAAGAUCCAAUCUACCCACAAGCGCUCACUUAACUUGUGGGAGGAGUCUGAUGUCGAGGUGUGAUGGGUGACUGUCAAGAACAAUGCAUGAGUCCCCACAAUGACAUUGCACUCCGCAUUCUCCUGAAAGAGAUGGAUUCGCUCUGCAUUUGAGUCCUCGCAGAGAUUGAGCGACAGUCAGUCAGCAAGGGUCAGGUGAUGUCACCCAUCCGUCCCCCAAGUCUGGUCCAGCAUUCAUUAUUCUUCCAUCUGUUGACAAGUCCACCUGGUGCCUCUGCAGGUUGCCAAACUUUGGAUUAUCUAGCAUGACAGUGUACCUAGGGGCUGUUUGGACCAAAUCCACUCCCGAGCUACCAGAGCUCCUACUCUCUCUUUCUCUCUCUACAUGGAGCCAGAUUGCCCUUCACUGGACGUUAUCAAGCUACUCUAUCAAAGACAUGUGUCACCACCCCCACGCUAGGACAACACCACUUCGCUGUAGUCGAGCUGCACCACGCAAUUAAGGACAGUGCGCUUUGUCUUAUCCUAUCCUUUGUCCUACAUGUUUACCCAACAACUCGCUCAAAAACAACUGCAAAAAAAAAUACUCUCAUUUCAUGGCCCUGUAGACUGAUAAUGGUACUGUAUCACGUAGCAUUCAGUUUCCACAGUCGUGUUGUAUUGUGCUGUACAGGAUAACCUUGGAAAUCCUUCAGUCUUACUGUUCACUCACAGUAAAAAAAAAAAAAACAAAUAAAAAUAAACCCACUGGGAAUGAUCGCUCCUUCAUUGCUGUGCCUCACCAAGCACAACAUCCAUACGGACCAAACUCCACGGACCAAUCGUCCACCACUGAGGAGCUU